This 465-nucleotide ribosomal RNA is filed under the name uncultured Klebsiella sp. RNAcentral's name for it is "bacterial SSU rRNA". It matches the Rfam family "Bacterial small subunit ribosomal RNA", at positions 338 to 795 of the family's 1533-position model. Lineage: Bacteria; Pseudomonadati; Pseudomonadota; Gammaproteobacteria; Enterobacterales; Enterobacteriaceae. The record is from RNAcentral.
CCUACGGGAGGCAGCAGUGGGGAAUAUUGCACAAUGGGCGCAAGCCUGAUGCAGCCAUGCCGCGUGUGUGAAGAAGGCCUUCGGGUUGUAAAGCACUUUCAGCGGGGAGGAAGGCGUUAAGGUUAAUAACCUUGUCGAUUGACGUUACCCGCAGAAGAAGCACCGGCUAACCCCGUGCCAGCAGCCGCGGUAAUACGGAGGGUGCAAGCGUUAAUCGGAAUUACUGGGCGUAAAGCGCACGCAGGCGGUCUGUCAAGUCGGAUGUGAAAUCCCCGGGCUCAACCUGGGAACUGCAUUCGAAACUGGCAGGCUAGAGUCUUGUAGAGGGGGGUAGAAUUCCAGGUGUAGCGGUGAAAUGCGUAGAGAUCUGGAGGAAUACCGGUGGCGAAGGCGGCCCCCUGGACAAAGACUGACGCUCAGGUGCGAAAGCGUGGGGAGCAAACAGGAUUAGAUACCCCUGUAGUC